CCAUACCACACACAUCGCUGGCCCCCAAAUCCCAAUCCACCCGUGCCCUACACCAGAGCGCCGCCGCCCCCAACCAUCUGACCUUCCGCCGCCGGCCGUCCUCUAGCCAUCGCCAUCCCCAAAUCACCAUAUCGCCGAUGCCCCCGACCAUCUGAUCCCUCCGCUAUCACCCCUAGCACCGCAGCCCCUCCCGCCGCCCCAACCAGCCCCACCACCACCGUCACCCCCCACCACCGCAGCCCAUCCACCGCCCCAACCAAUGCACUACUGCGGCCUCCACCCAGACCACUGACACCGUCGCCCCCCAUCAUCGCAGCUCCUCUGCCGCACCAAGCACCCACUGUUGCUUCCUCCACCCAGACCACUGCUGCCGUCGCCCCCAACCACAACAGAGCGGCACCGCCGAGCACCAAUUGACACGGAGCAUCACAUCGCCGAGCCACUCCACCGGUGACCAUCCUCCUCCGAUGUACGCCGUCGUUUAUCAGCUACCACCCUCCUCGCGAGCUUCCUCCCCCAAGCUGGCCCUCCGCACAAGCUCACCCGAGCACCAAGGAGCUCCUCCGUUUGAUGUUAGAUUAGACUAUGUGAUAGCAUUAGCAUGUUACCUCCUUGCCCCAACCAGCGUUGCCUUGCCUCUACUUCCUUGCCUGAGUAGUGUCGUGUACGUCCUCUACAUCAUCGCCAGAGCAGCACCACAUCCUCUGCUUCUUAAUCAUCGUUGGAAGUCAGUUAAUGGCAAAUGCAGCAAUGGGUUGCGACCACAAGCAAGCUGAGGAGGUUUCCCAAAGGUGCACAAGUUCACUAAGAUUUGGAAGAUCUUUAAGCUGCUAAAGAUUUGGAAGACCUAAAAUUAAGUUGGUGGAGUGAUAAUGACCUGUGUCUUGUUUGUCGAACUUGAGACUUGCUCUGCUCAUUUUGGUGGUUGUUAAUUAGCUCAUUUAGGUUGUGUGGCACACAUCUAGAAACAUAUGUACAUCUCUAGUGGCACUACUUUAUUUUUGUUGUGUGGCAAACAUAUAUAUGUACUUCUUUUGUGGCACAACCUCUUUAUAUAUGGUCGUUAUGAUUAUCGAAUGAAGUUUAAGGUUUUCGAUGAGGCCUAUAUGUUACUUUGAA
Molecule: long non-coding RNA, 1119 nt
Organism: Triticum dicoccoides
Lineage: Eukaryota; Viridiplantae; Streptophyta; Magnoliopsida; Poales; Poaceae
Exons: 4
Source: RefSeq, a predicted model, not a curated record